This 77-nucleotide transfer RNA is filed under the name Chloroflexota bacterium. Its description in RNAcentral is "Chloroflexi bacterium (hot springs metagenome) tRNA-Ile". It matches the Rfam family "tRNA". Rfam says of the family: Transfer RNA (tRNA) molecules are approximately 80 nucleotides in length. Their secondary structure includes four short double-helical elements and three loops (D, anti-codon, and T loops). Further hydrogen bonds mediate the characteristic L-shaped molecular structure. tRNAs have two regions of fundamental functional importance: the anti-codon, which is responsible for specific mRNA codon recognition, and the 3' end, to which the tRNAs corresponding amino acid is attached (by aminoacyl-tRNA synthetases). tRNAs cope with the degeneracy of the genetic code in two manners: having more than one tRNA (with a specific anti-codon) for a particular amino acid; and 'wobble' base-pairing, i.e. permitting non-standard base-pairing at the 3rd anti-codon position. The record is from RNAcentral. Lineage: Bacteria; Bacillati; Chloroflexota.
GGGCCAUUAGCUCAGUCGGCUAGAGCACGGUCCUGAUAAGACCGGGGUCUGUGGUUCGAAUCCACAAUGGCCCACCA